GACGAACGCUGGCGGCGUGCCUAAUACAUGCAAGUUGAGCGCUGAAGGUUGGUACUUGUACCAACUGGAUGAGCAGCGAACGGGUGAGUAACGCGUGGGGAAUCUGCCUUUGAGCGGGGGACAACAUUUGGAAACGAAUGCUAAUACCGCAUAAAAACUUUAAACACAAGUUUUAAGUUUGAAAGAUGCAAUUGCAUCACUCAAAGAUGAUCCCGCGUUGUAUUAGCUAGUUGGUGAGGUAAAGGCUCACCAAGGCGAUGAUACAUAGCCGACCUGAGAGGGGGAUCGGCCACAUUGGGACUGAGACACGGCCCAAACUCCUACGGGAGGCAGCAGUAGGGAAUCUUCGGCAAUGGACGAAAGUCUGACCGAGUAACGCCGCGUGAGUGAAGAAGGGUGUCGGAUCGUAAAACUCUGUUGGUAGAGAAGAACGUUGGUGAGAGUGGAAAGCUCAUCAAGUGACGGUAACUACCCAGAAAGGGACGGCUAACUACGUG
Molecule: ribosomal RNA, 497 nt
Filed under: uncultured bacterium
Lineage: Bacteria
Description: partial 16S ribosomal RNA
Rfam family: Bacterial small subunit ribosomal RNA
Source: RNAcentral